This 385-nucleotide ribosomal RNA is filed under the name uncultured Escherichia sp. RNAcentral's name for it is "bacterial SSU rRNA". It matches the Rfam family "Bacterial small subunit ribosomal RNA", at positions 1010 to 1397 of the family's 1533-position model. The record is from RNAcentral. Lineage: Bacteria; Pseudomonadati; Pseudomonadota; Gammaproteobacteria; Enterobacterales; Enterobacteriaceae.
AGGACUUCCUUCGGGGCAUCCGAGACAGGUGGUGCAUGGUUGUCGUCAGCUCGUGUCGUGAGAUGUUGGGUUAAGUCCCGCAACGAGCGCAACCCCUAUUGUUAGUUGCCAUCAUUAAGUUGGGCACUCUAGCGAGACUGCCGGUAAUAAACCGGAGGAAGGUGGGGAUGACGUCAAAUCAUCAUGCCCCUUAUGACCUGGGCUACACACGUGCUACAAUGGUUGGUACAACGAGUCGCGAGUCGGUGACGGCAAGCAAAUCUCUUAAAGCCAAUCUCAGUUCGGAUUGUAGACUGCAACUCGCCUACAUGAAGUCGGAAUCGCUAGUAAUCGCGGAUCAGCACGCCGCGGUGAAUACGUUCCCGGGUCUUGUACACACCGAAGU